CCUGGCGACGAGUGGCGAACGGGUGAGUAAUAUAUCGGAACGUGCCCAGUAGUGGGGGAUAGCCCGGCGAAAGCCGGAUUAAUACCGCAUACGACCUACGGGUGAAAGCGGGGGAUCGCAAGACCUCGCGCUAUUGGAGCGGCCGAUAUCAGAUUAGGUAGUUGGUGGGGUAAAAGCCUACCAAGCCGACGAUCUGUAGCUGGUCUGAGAGGACGACCAGCCACACUGGGACUGAGACACGGCCCAGACUCCUACGGGAGGCAGCAGUGGGGAAUUUUGGACAAUGGGCGCAAGCCUGAUCCAGCCAUGCCGCGUGCGGGAAGAAGGCCUUCGGGUUGUAAACCGCUUUUGUCAGGGAAGAAACGCCCUGGGCUAAUACCCCGGGGUAAUGACGGUACCUGAAGAAUAAGCACCGGCUAACUACGUGCCA
Molecule: ribosomal RNA, 430 nt
Filed under: uncultured bacterium
Lineage: Bacteria
Description: bacterial SSU rRNA
Rfam family: Bacterial small subunit ribosomal RNA
Source: RNAcentral